Non-coding RNA from Peromyscus maniculatus bairdii (prairie deer mouse), 450 nucleotides. The record is from RefSeq and is a predicted model, not a curated record. NCBI's taxonomy places the organism in Eukaryota, Metazoa, Chordata, Mammalia, Rodentia, Cricetidae.
GUGUGCUCUCGGAUCUCGCUUGUGAAUGUUGAUGGUGUAUUUUCGGGUCACCACCUCGUUGAUGGCAGAACGGCCCUGCUUCUUCUCGCCACCCUUCUUUUCGAGAGCCGUUCUGCUGGGCCCAAGUUGGAAAGGACCCAGCUGUCAUUCUUUAAUUAACGUUUCAUGCAGGAAUUGUGAUGAUUGAUUUCUGUCAACCUGACACAAAGUGAUGUCACUUGGGAAGAGGGAACCUUAACUGAGGAACUGCCUCCAUUCUAUUGGCCCAUGGGCAGGCCUGUGGGGGCAUUUUCAUGAUUGUUAAUGAUGUAGAAAGGCCCAGUCCAUUGUGGGUGGUGGCAUUCCUAGGCAGGUGGGCAUGGUUAAAUUAGAAAAGUAGCUGAGUAAGCCAAAGAGAGCGAGCCAGUAAACAGCAUUCCACCACGGUCUCUGCUUCAGUUUGUGUCUUGA